GUGCUCGCUUCAACAGCACAUAUGCUAAAAUUGGAAUAAUACAGAGAAGAUUAGCAUGACCUCUGCACAAGGAUGACACACUCGAAUUUGUGCCGUGUUCCACAUUUUU
RNAcentral lists this small nuclear RNA (109 nucleotides) under Peromyscus maniculatus bairdii (prairie deer mouse). The record is from RNAcentral. Lineage: Eukaryota; Metazoa; Chordata; Mammalia; Rodentia; Cricetidae.